This 497-nucleotide ribosomal RNA is filed under the name uncultured bacterium. Its description in RNAcentral is "partial 16S ribosomal RNA". It matches the Rfam family "Bacterial small subunit ribosomal RNA", at positions 28 to 507 of the family's 1533-position model. The record is from RNAcentral.
GAUGAACGCUGGCGGCGUGCCUAAUACAUGCAAGUCGAGCGAACAGAUGAGGAGCUUGCUCCUCUGACGUUAGCGGCGGACGGGUGAGUAACACGUGGAUAACCUACCUAUAAGACUGGGAUAACUUCGGGAAACCGGAGCUAAUACCGGAUAAUAUAUUGAACCGCAUGGUUCAAUAGUGAAAGACGGUUUUGCUGUCACUUAUAGAUGGAUCCGCGCCGCCUUAGCUAGUUGUUAAGGUAAAGGCUUACCAAGGCAACGAUGCGUAGCCGACCUGAGAGGGUGAUCGGCCCCCCUGCAACUGAAACACGGUCCAGACUCCUCCGGGAGGCAGCAGUUGGGAAUCUUCGGCGAUGAGCGAAAGCCUGACGGGGCAGCGCCUCGUCAGUGAUGAUGGUCUUCGGAUCGUAAAACUCUGUUAUUGGGGAAGAACAAAUGUGUAAGUAACUAGGCACGUCUUGACGGUACCGAAUCAGAAAGCCACGGCUAACUACGUG